Molecule: ribosomal RNA, 497 nt
Filed under: uncultured bacterium
Lineage: Bacteria
Description: partial 16S ribosomal RNA
Rfam family: Bacterial small subunit ribosomal RNA
Source: RNAcentral
GAUGAACGCUGGCGGCGUGCCUAAUACAUGCAAGUCGAGCGAACAGACGAGGAGCUUGCUCCUCUGACGUUAGCGGCGGACGGGUGAGUAACACGUGGAUAACCUACCUAUAAGACUGGGAUAACUUCGGGAAACCGGAGCUAAUACCGGAUAAUAUAUUGAACCGCAUGGUUCAAUAGUGAAAGACGGUUUUGCUGUCACUUAUAGAUGGAUCCGCGCCGCAUUAGCUAGUUGGUAAGGUAACGGCUUACCAAGGCAACGAUGCGUAGCCGACCUGAGAGGGUGAUCGGCCACACUGGAACUGAGACACGGUCCAGACUCCUACGGGAGGCAGCAGUAGGGAAACUUCCGCAAAGGGCGAAAGCCUGACGGAGCAACGCCGCGUGAGUGAUGAAGGUCUUCGGAUCGUAAAACUCUGUUAUUAGGGAAGAACAAAUGUGUAAGUAACUAUGCACGUCUUGACGGUACCUAAUCAGAAAGCCACGGCUAACUACGUG